CCUACGGGUGGCUGCAGUGGGGAAUAUUGGACAAUGGGCGAAAGCCUGAUCCAGCCAUGCCGCGUGUGUGAAGAAGGCCUUCGGGUUGUAAAGCACUUUCAGUGGGGAAGAAAGCCUUGGGGCUAAUACCCUCGAGGAAGGACAUCACCCACAGAAGAAGCACCGGCUAACUCCGGGCCAGCAGCCGCGGUAAUACGGAGGGUGCGAGCGUUAAUCGGAAUUACUGGGCGUAAAGCGCGCGUAGGCGGUCUGAUAAGCCGGUUGUGAAAGCCCCGGGCUCAACCUGGGAACGGCAUCCGGAACUGUCAGGCUAGAGUGCAGGAGAGGAAGGUAGAAUUCCCGGUGUAGCGGUGAAAUGCGUAGAGAUCGGGAGGAAUACCAGUGGCGAAGGCGGCCUUCUGGACUGACACUGACGCUGAGGUGCGAAAGCGUGGGUAGCAAACAGGAUUAGAUACCCCUGUAGUC
RNAcentral lists this ribosomal RNA (465 nucleotides) under Vreelandella stevensii. Its description in RNAcentral is "partial 16S ribosomal RNA". It matches the Rfam family "Bacterial small subunit ribosomal RNA", at positions 338 to 795 of the family's 1533-position model. Lineage: Bacteria; Pseudomonadati; Pseudomonadota; Gammaproteobacteria; Oceanospirillales; Halomonadaceae. The record is from RNAcentral.